Molecule: microRNA, 22 nt
Filed under: Schistosoma japonicum
Lineage: Eukaryota; Metazoa; Platyhelminthes; Trematoda; Strigeidida; Schistosomatidae
Description: miRNA-3138
Source: RNAcentral
UCGGGAUGCGGUUUUCCCCCUU